CCCAUUGGACUUCCCCUAGGCUCUGUGCUAGUCUUCUCUGUGAGCUCACUCUACCCCUCCUCUUCCUCCCCCUAACUUACUGAGGUUGUCCCUUCACUUAAACCUGUCGUCUGGU
This is an unclassified non-coding RNA of Cavia aperea (Brazilian guinea pig), 115 nucleotides long. The record is from Ensembl. NCBI's taxonomy places the organism in Eukaryota, Metazoa, Chordata, Mammalia, Rodentia, Caviidae.